CCGUAGCCCAAGAGAUCGGGAUAACACCUGGAAACAGAUGCUAAUACCGGAUAACAACAGAUGAUGCCUAUCAACUGUGUAAAAGAUGGUUCUGCUAUCACUCUUGGAUGGACCUGCGGUGCAUUAGCUAGUUGGUAGGGUAACGGCCUACCAAGGCGAUGAUGCAUAGCCGAGUUGAGAGACUGAUCGGCCACAUUGGGACUGAGACACGGCCCAAACUCCUACGGGAGGCAGCAGCC
RNAcentral lists this ribosomal RNA (239 nucleotides) under uncultured Lactobacillus sp. RNAcentral's name for it is "partial 16S ribosomal RNA". It matches the Rfam family "Bacterial small subunit ribosomal RNA", at positions 125 to 355 of the family's 1533-position model. The record is from RNAcentral. Lineage: Bacteria; Bacillati; Bacillota; Bacilli; Lactobacillales; Lactobacillaceae.